RNAcentral lists this ribosomal RNA (545 nucleotides) under Drunella trispina. Its description in RNAcentral is "SSU rRNA". It matches the Rfam family "Eukaryotic small subunit ribosomal RNA", at positions 620 to 1119 of the family's 1831-position model. The record is from RNAcentral. Lineage: Eukaryota; Metazoa; Arthropoda; Insecta; Ephemeroptera; Ephemerellidae.
UAAAAAGCUCGUAGUUGGAUCUGUGUAUCGGACGGUCGGUUCGCCGCUCGCGGCGUUUAACUGACCGGUCCGGACGUCCUGCCGGUGGGCGGCUCGGCCCUUCACGGGGCCGGUCGCCCGUUAACCUUCCCUCCGGGCUGCUCUUAACCGAGUGGCGCGGUGGGCCGGCACGUUUACUUUGAACAAAUUUGAGUGCUCAAAGCAGGCCUCGAGUCGCCUGAAAACUGUGUGCAUGGAAUAAUGGAAUAGGGCCUCUUCUCUAUUUUGUUGGCUUUUCUGAGAUAGAGGUAAUGAUUAAUAGGGACAGACGGGGGCAUUCGUAUUGCGACGUUAGAGGUGAAAUUCUUGGAUCGUCGCAAGACGGACGGAUGCGAAAGCGUUUGCCAAGAAUGUUUUCGCUAAUCAAGAACGAAAGUUAGAGGUUCGAAGGCGAUCAGAUACCGCCCUAGUUCUAACCAUAAACGAUGCCAGCCAGCGAUGCGCCGACGUUCCUCCGAUGACUCGGCGCGCAGCUUCCGGGAAACCAAAGCUUUUGGGUUCCGGGG